GAUGAAGAACGUAGCGAAAUGCGAUACGUAGUGUGAAUUGCAGAAUUCAGUGAAUCAUCGAAUCUUUGAACGCACAUUGCACCUCUCGGUAUUCCGGGAGGUAUGCCUGUUCGAGCGUCAUUUGUACCCUCAAGCUCUGCUUGGUGUUGGGUGUUUGUUCCGCCUCUGUGUGUGAACUCGCCUCAAAACAAUUGGCAGCCGGCGUACUUGUUUCGGAGCGCAGCACAUUUUGCGAUCCAGAUCAACGUACAGCGGCAUCCAAGAAGCCUUAUUUAACGCUCUUGACCUCGGAUCAGUUAGGGAUACCCGCUGAACUUAAGCAUAUCAAUAAGCGGAGGA
This 339-nucleotide unclassified non-coding RNA is filed under the name soil metagenome. RNAcentral's name for it is "partial contains 5.8S ribosomal RNA, internal transcribed spacer 2, and large subunit ribosomal RNA". The stretch from base 1 to 120 matches the Rfam family "5.8S ribosomal RNA", at positions 35 to 154 of the family's 154-position model. The record is from RNAcentral.